This 483-nucleotide ribosomal RNA is filed under the name uncultured bacterium. RNAcentral describes it as "partial 16S ribosomal RNA". It matches the Rfam family "Bacterial small subunit ribosomal RNA", at positions 28 to 506 of the family's 1533-position model. The record is from RNAcentral.
AUUGAACGCUGGCGGCAUGCUUUACACAUGCAAGUCGAACGGCAGCGCGGGCUUCGGCCUGGCGGCGAGUGGCGAACGGGUGAGUAAUGCAUCGGAACGUGCCCAGUAGUGGGGGAUAGCCCGGCGAAAGCCGGAUUAAUACCGCAUACGACCUGAGGGUGAAAGCGGGGGACCGAAAGGCCUCGCGCUAUUGGAGCGGCCGGUGUCGGAUUAGCUAGUUGGUGGGGUAAAGGCUUACCAAGGCGACGAUCCGUAGCUGGUCUGAGAGGACGACCAGCCACACUGGGACUGAGACACGGCCCAGACUCCUACGGGAGGCAGCAGUGGGGAAUUUUGGACAAUGGGGGCAACCCUGAUCCAGCCAUGCCGCGUGCGGGAAGAAGGCCUUCGGGUUGUAAACCGCUUUUGUUCGGGAAGAAAUCCUCUGGGCUAAUACCCCGGGGGGAUGACGGUACCGGAAGAAUAAGCACCGGCUAACUACGU